This 371-nucleotide ribosomal RNA is filed under the name uncultured bacterium. RNAcentral's name for it is "bacterial SSU rRNA". It matches the Rfam family "Bacterial small subunit ribosomal RNA", at positions 790 to 1168 of the family's 1533-position model. The record is from RNAcentral.
GUAGUCCACGCCGUAAACGAUGCUAACUCGUUUUUGGGUUUUCGGAUUCAGAGACUAAGCGAAAGUGAUAAGUUAGCCACCUGGGGAGUACGUUCGCAAGAAUGAAACUCAAAGGAAUUGACGGGGGCCCGCACAAGCGGUGGAUUAUGUGGUUUAAUUCGAUGAUACGCGAGGAACCUUACCAAGGCUUAAAUGGGAAUUGACAGGUUUAGAAAUAGACUUUUCUUCGGACAAUUUUCAAGGUGCUGCAUGGUUGUCGUCAGCUCGUGCCGUGAGGUGUUAGGUUAAGUCCUGCAACGAGCGCAACCCCUGUCACUAGUUGCCAUCAUUCAGUUGGGGACUCUAGUGAGACUGCCUACGCAAGUAGAGAG